UCACUUACCUGCAGGGGAGAUGUCAUAAUUAUGAGGGUGAUUUUCUGGGGAUGAAGCUCAUCUGUUGCACUCUGGGUGUGCUGUCUCCUGUGGUUCUUCAAAUGUGGAAAACUUGACUGUAUAAUUUGUGGUAGUGGCGAGCUAUGCUCACACUUUUCCCCC
Molecule: small nuclear RNA, 162 nt
Organism: Cricetulus griseus (Chinese hamster)
Lineage: Eukaryota; Metazoa; Chordata; Mammalia; Rodentia; Cricetidae
Gene: U1
Rfam family: U1 spliceosomal RNA
About the family: U1 is a small nuclear RNA (snRNA) component of the spliceosome (involved in pre-mRNA splicing). Its 5' end forms complementary base pairs with the 5' splice junction, thus defining the 5' donor site of an intron.
Source: Ensembl